CCCUACGGGGCGCAGCAGUGAGGAAUAUUGGUCAAUGGGCGUGAGCCUGAACCAGCCAAGUCGCGUGAGGGAAGACGGUCCUAUGGAUUGUAAACCUCUUUUGCCGGGGAGCAAAAAGCGGUACGUGUACCGCAUCGAGAGUACCCGGAGAAAAAGCAUCGGCUAACUCCGUGCCAGCAGCCGCGGUAACACGGAGAACGCGAGCGUUAUCCGGAUUUAUUGGGUUUAAAGGGUGCGCAGGCGGCGAGUUAAGUCAGCGGUAAAAUUUCGGGGCUCAACCCCGACAAGCCGUUGAAACUGGCUUG
RNAcentral lists this ribosomal RNA (305 nucleotides) under uncultured bacterium. Its description in RNAcentral is "bacterial SSU rRNA". It matches the Rfam family "Bacterial small subunit ribosomal RNA", at positions 337 to 640 of the family's 1533-position model. The record is from RNAcentral.